Long non-coding RNA from Phacochoerus africanus (Common warthog), 4873 nucleotides. RefSeq lists it as uncharacterized. NCBI's taxonomy places the organism in Eukaryota, Metazoa, Chordata, Mammalia, Artiodactyla, Suidae. The transcript has 4 exons. The record is from RefSeq and is a predicted model, not a curated record.
UCUUGAUGUGAGGUAGUAAGUAAAUGCACUUAUUCUGAGGAAGGGGCAUACCUGGUGUAGUUGAAAAACAGCAAAGAGGUCAGUACGGUUGGAGAAGAAUGAAGGAUAAACCAGUAGGAGAUCAGACAGUUAACAGGGUCAUAUCUUACAGGCUCUACCAGUUUCUGCCACCUAAGAAUCACAAACUCUCAGAAGCAUACGAUAGUAGGUGUGUACUUAGCUCAUGCCUGUGAGCUCUGCUAAUCUUGGUUAGGCUUGCUCACAUCCAUAGGAAGUUUGGUUUGGGAUCAGCUGAUCUAAGCUAGACUCAGAUGAAGCAGCCCUAUUCACAUGUCUCUCUUCCUUUUUCUGGCAGCAGCAGGCUAGCCCUGAUGUGUUUUUUCUCAGGACAAUGGCAGAGAUAUAAGAGGGAAGUCCACUUGCGACAAAACCUUUUCAGCCCUUUGGCUUCAUCAUGUGUGUUAAUGAGUCACAUGGUCAAACUCAGAGACAAUAGAUACAGAUGGAGGUGGUGGCGAGGGAGUGAGUGACUAUUUCUGAUAAUUAUUCCAAAUAAUCCAAUGUAUGACAACGGACCUCAAAAAAAAAAAAAUGCUUUGGCUUUUAUUCUGUGAUAGGCAAAACCUUUCACUUUGAGGGAAAAUGCGACAUAAUCUAAUUGCUGAGCCGAGAGUAGAUUGAAGGGAAGAGUAAGAAUAGGAACAGAAAGGUUAUGAUCCAGAUGAGAGAAGAUGGUGUUCUGCAUUAGGGCUGUUGCGGUGGAGUUGAUUAGAAGGGAUCAGGCUCUGAUUAUAUUUUUAACAGAGCUGUUAAGAUUUUCUGAAGAAAGGAGGAUUUUAUGGAGGGAAAGGCGGCAGAAUUAAGGGGUCUGUUUCGGAAAUGUUGACUUUGUGAUGACUGUUACCUUGGUGGAAAUGUCAAAUAAGUGGUUAAAUAUACAGGUGUGGAGUUCAGGAGAGUUUAGGACUAGAGACAGAUCUGGGAGUUAUUGGCAAGUUGAUGUCUUUUAAAACCUGGAAACUGAGGACUCGCUGAUAAAUGGAGGUAAAGGAGAAGAGGCCAGGGACAGAGCCCUAGGGUAAUCUAAUAUUUAGAGGUCUGAUGGAACAGGAAGAGCUACAAGAAGGGGGCUUUAAAAAUGUGAUGGGAGGAGUUCUGUGACGCAGCGGGUUAAGGAUCCAGCGUUGUCACUGCAGCCGGUUGGAUCGCUGCUGUGUCUUGGGUUCAGUCUCUGGCCUGGGAACUUGUGCAUGUAACGGGUGUGGACAAAAAGAAGAAAUAUAAAAGCAAUUGGUAAUGUACGAGGAAAUACAAGAGUGUGACAUCACGGAAGCCAAGAAGAGAAAAUAUUGCAAAAAGAAGGAACUAGCCAACUUUGUUGACUCUGCUCAGAGGCUAAGAAAGUCAAGAAGAGGGCCAGGAGUUGUGGCAAUAUGGAAGACAUGGGCGACCCUGAAAAGAGAGGUCUUUAUGGAAGAGUGGAGUGGAAGUACAAUUCGAUGAAUGAAAUAAGGAUAUGAAGACUACAUUUACAGUUAACGGGAAUAGAGAUGGGGUGGCCUUUAGGAAAAGGGAUCAGGCGAAGUUGUUGUCUUAUUUUAAUAGAUAAUAGUGGCUAUGGAAAUAAGCCAGGAAAAACUGAUGUCAAGAAAAAAGAGAAUUAGAGGAGGGGUGCCUUGGAGAAGGUUAGAGAAAUGGUUCUUUGCUAGGGGUAGAGAUGUUUAAUUCAUUACAACAGGGGGGCCAGCAAAGAUGUGGAAGGUGCAUAAAUGGGGACAUGAGAUGACUCCUGCCUAAUGGUUUAUAUUUUCUCCAAUGAGGUAUUUUCUAAAGUUCAUUAACAAAGAUAGAAGACAUGGGAAACUUGAAAGAAGGGAAGGCAGUAUGAAGUAGCCAACAGAAAAUGUAGUAGGAUUAUCAGAACCCUUUUGAAAUUUGUGGUCAUAAAUUUCAGGUGAGACCAGGCCACAAUUUUCAGGUGCUCAGUGCAGGCAUGGGGUAUUACAAAUAACUUAACCACAAUUGUGAUUUGCCAGACAAGGUGAAUGAAAGGAAGAGGUUCAGAGGUUUUCCAAGGAGUGAUAUUAAUGAUAGACCCAUGGACUCUCAGCCAGGUAAGGAAAGAAGGGAUGAUGGAGAGAGAUAAAGACCAAUGGAGGAAUUCCCAUUGUGGUGCAGUGGAAACAAAUCCGACUAGGAACCACGAGGUUUUGGGUUCAAUCCCUGGCCUCGCUCAGUGGGUUAAGAUCCGACAUUGCUAUGAGCUGUGGUGUAAGCCGGCAGCAACCGCUGCAACGGCUCCGAUUACAGGCCUAGCCUGGGAACCUCCAUAUGCCACGGUGUGGCCCUAAAAAGACAAAAGACAAAAAAAAAAAUGGAAUAGGAUAGAAAUAUUAAUUUUGAAUCUAUUUUCAGUUGUCCCUAAAAAUAUCACAAAAUGAGGAAAGGAAAGAUGGUACCAGAUGUGUAAUUUUUAUAUGGUGCUUUUACUUGCAAGUAUACAAUGAGAGGCAUUUUGUAAUAUUUCUUUGACUUUUGAAUCUGGAGGUGGGUUACUCUGAGGAACCCAAGAACCCUGAAAAGUUUGAGAUUCUAGUCUGUUACUGUUUCAUGGAUAUUUACAGAAGGCGCAAGAAUCCUGAUUCAGAGACAAAGGACAGUAUUAGUCAUGGCACAGCAAGCAACUGUUGAGAGCAGUGACCUUAGCAUUGGAUGGCCAGCAUUCUCUUCAUAACACACACAACGAUUCCUUCUGGCCACACGACGCUGAAGACAGACUUUGAAAAAUGAUGCUGCCUUUGAGGGCAUGGUUAGGUGAGCAUAAGUGUGAAUAUGGACACCAAGAAUGAAAUUAUGCAAACAAACAAAAAUGAAUGCUUUAUUCUAGCAGGUAGAGAAGUGUAGACUUUCUGUCACUGUUCUAUUUACAUAGGUCCUGUGAAGUCAUAGACUGGGUAAAGAUAGAAGUUAGAAGUGUGUCAGUUGUAAGAGAGGGCUGAAAUUUUAGCAUACAAAGUUUUAGUGUAAUGUAACCCCCUUUACACUCGCUUUUUUAAUCUUUUAAAAGAUCUAUAUUCUCAAAAAUCUUUCUACUUUUGAAAUGUAAUAUAUGACCAUUUUAAUCUACAUAUUCACUCUUUUUAUUGUAUAUAACUGUUAAUUCAUAAGAUUGGGCCACAGCCCAAAGUUCAUAUUAAUGUAAACAUGCUGGCACAGAAUAAUAAAAUAUUUACAACCAGACCUGGACAGAGGUAAAGAUUAGACAAAUUAAAGCAGGAUAUCUCUAACCUCUUAAGUGCUCAAAACUCUAAUGAUGAAGUCUUCCAACUUUUAGAAGUUGACAUAGGCCGGUUUGUCUUAAAGUUAAGACAAAUCACAGAGUAAAAUAAUAAAUGUAAAAGUCUAGGGAAUAAAGUUCUAAAAAUGGUUAUGAAAGAAGAGCUCAGUUAAUUCUUUCUCUACAGUGUCACAUUUUGCAGGUACUUUGUGAGUGUAUAUAGAGCAAUAGAUACUAAAAUGGUCAGCUACCUUGAUAUAUGUUCAGUGACACUAGUAAAGUAGUUCCUAUUACUAAAAUUGAUUGGAUUCCAUUAUGUUUUAAUGUCUUCCUAAUUUAAAGCUCUAAAACAUGUAAUACAUCUUGUCAGAUGCUCCCAACAUACAGAUACCUGCCGUACAUGGAACAACCCCAUGCGAUUAAUCAAAUAGCCAAUUUAUCAUUUCUGACUUUAUAAAAAAUUUUAAAAUUUCACCCAGAAUAUGUUUCAGCCCUGAGCAUAAAACUGUUUUGAUUCUGUUAACCAAACUUUCACCAUUUUACAGAAGACAAAAUAUUGCCUAUGAGAAAUUUUCCAUUGCCUGCAUCCCUGGAAGGGAGCAGAGCCACAGGUGAUCUACAACAGAGUUUUAAAACUUUUAAUGUUAAAAAUCACCCAAAUCACCCAAAUCUUUUUGUUUUUUAACCUCUUCAUAACUGCAUUUUUUGCUUAGACCGAUAUGACAUUAUUUCGUAGCCCAGAAGCUUGCCAAGUGUCAGAACUAAGGGUGCUUGAAAUUGAAAGUGGGACAUCAAAGGACAGGUAAUUUAAAAUUUAUCAUUUAAAAUAUGCAUAGCUCCAUCAUCAGUAGCAUUCUCUAUGAAUUGUAUACAGGAGGCUGCUGUCUCUUCAAUGGAUUUUGACCACCCACCAAGAUUUCCAGCAAAAUAAGGAAGGAUGCCAGCAGAAAUCUGGUUAAAGAGCAAAUUAAUCUGCUGAUGUUUCCUCAAACUUACGGUACACGAAUUGCUAUCAACAGCAUGGAUGAGAAAUCCGGCACAUACGAUUUCACUUCUGACGUACUGUGGUGAAGGUGGGACUGAUGGCAGAGUAACCGACUUCACUGCCACCGUAUACUCACCCAUCUUUGAGAGGCCUUCUUCGUGAUACAAGUACCACCAAGUCUUUGGGUUUGUCAUCAUUCAUCGGAGGACAAGUGAUAUGAUAAAUCUGAUCAUCUUCAUUUAUCCAGUCUAUGACUUCACAGGACCUAUGUAAAUAGAACAGUGACAGAAAGUCUAUACUUUUCUAUCCAGUAGAAUAAAGCAUUCAUUUUUUUGUUUGUUUGCAUAAUUUCAUUAUUGGUGUCCAUAUUCUCUCUUUUGCUUAUAUAACCAUCCCCUCAAAGCCAGCAUCAUUUUUCAAAGUCUGUUUUUAGUGUUGUGUGGCCAGAAGGAACAGUUCUGUGUGUGAUGAAGAGAAUGCUGGCCAUCCGACACUAAGGUCACCGCUCUCAACACUGCAGAGAAAGGCACAUCGCUGUUUUCCACAAAAUUAUUUUUCUUUAGGAUCAAGUAAUAAUAUUUUGAAAACUCGUCAAUUAUAUGGACAAUCCA